Non-coding RNA from Equus caballus (horse), 1936 nucleotides. NCBI's taxonomy places the organism in Eukaryota, Metazoa, Chordata, Mammalia, Perissodactyla, Equidae. The record is from RefSeq and is a predicted model, not a curated record.
CUCUGUUCUCAAAGCGCUUCCUUCAAGUCUCUAUUCUGGCAUUUAUCACACUAAACUAUGAUGAGUUCUUUAAGUCUCUUCAAGUCUCCUUCCACAGACUGUGAACUCCCUGAAGAUAGGGAUCACAUUUUAUUCAUCUUUGCAGCCUAGAGGAGCCCAAAACAGUAUCUGGCAAAUAUUAGGCAUUAAUGUUUACUAUCACGGCCCACGACUGCUGAGAACGUUCAUUCCCCCCGCUACCUCUUAAUGUCCUAGUAUGUUUAUUCAUUAAUUAACUCAUUUAUUCUUAGAACAAAUACUCAUCACACAAUGUGAGCCUAAUACAAAGCUAGGUGCUGCGAGUACCUGCGGAAUAAAACAGACAUGGUCUCUAGCCUCAGCUCUCAUAAUCUAAUACAGGAUACAAUAAACUGUUAAACGUUUAUAAACAACAUUCUCUAAGACGUCUCAGUCAAUUCUACAGCUUUAAAUACGAUCUUGGGUCAUUAACUCCCAAAUUUAUAUUUAAGCCCAGAUUUUGCCAACAUGCUUUAGACUCACAUAUUCAACUGCCUUCUCAACAUUUUCAACUGAAUGUCUACCAGGCACCUCACACUUAACAUGGCCAACCAGAACCCUUGAUAUUCCCCACUAAAUCCUCUUCUUUCCCAGUCUUCCCUAUCUCAGUAACUGUCCCAAUCAUUCACUCAGUUGUUCAAGCUAUGCUCAGUUUGUCUCUUCCUCCAUCCCUCCACAAUCAAGCAUCAAGUCCCACCGCUUCUAGCUUUAGAAAAUAUCAGUCAACCACAAUCUUUAAUAGUAGAGGUCACCAUCAUCUCUUACCUGGACUAACUGGUAACCCUAUACUUCUCUUCUCCCAUCCCCAUCCAAUUUCCACACAUUAGCCAGAGUGAUCUUUCUAAAAUAUUAUUCAAAGAACCACAAUUAAAAUCGACUGUAUUUAGAAUAAAAUCUAAACUUCUUACCUCAGCCUCCAAAACUGUCUAUGACCUGGUCCCCCUCCAUACUCUCCAUCCUCCUCUCAUACCAUUCUCCCUCUUUUGAUGUUCGCUACCCUGGCCUUCUUUAUAUCCACACCGUGAGGCAUUUGCACUUGCUAUUCCCCGGAUGUUUCCCUGCUCUUCCCAAAACUGGCUCUUUUUUUGCAUUCAGGUCUCAGCUCAAAUGUCACCUCAGGAGGACUUUGCUGACUGCCUCUCAUAUACCCCACCCCAGUCACCGACACAACACCUUGUUUCAUUUUCCUGACAGCACUUAUCACCAUUUGAAACUAUACUGUUCAUUUGUCUGACUCAUCCCUCUAAAAUGCAGGCUCCAUGAGAGUAGAACACUAAGAAAUACUUUUACCACAAAAACGCGGGUAUAUGGGAAAGGGGAGAUCUAAUGUAGUUUAACCUGCCAGGAAAAGCCUCCCCAAAGUAAUGUAAAUGGAUGACAAUGAAUUAACCACAUAAAGGAAGGUGGGAAAAGUGAAGAUUCCAAGCAGAGAGAACAAUGGUGAAAGGUCAGGAGGUGACAGAUAGGGUGGCACAUCCCAGUAAAUGCAGUUUAGUAUGGUUAAAGCACAGAGUUGGAAAGAGAGAGGAAACUGGAAACAAGCACAGGCCAGAUCACACAAGACUCUUCAGGAUUCUGGUCAUUAUCCUAAGGGCAAUAGAGCUCUUCAAAGAUUUUAAGAAGCUUCCUAUAAUGUGUUUUGCAAAUAAGGAAGGGAGCAAGCAAAAGAACCAGGUCAUCAAGAAAGAAGAGUUUCAAAAGCCAAGACUGUCAACAGUGCCAAAUGCUUCAAAGAAAUCUAACAGGACAAGAACUUCAAAAAGUCCCUGGGUUUGGCAAUUAGGAGAUUAUUGGUGACCAUUAUUAGUUGAGAUUUUUUCUUGCAAGAAAAAGAAAAUUUAAUUCAAAUUGGCUUUAAAAUAAAGGAAAUCUAUAAGUA